Non-coding RNA from Callithrix jacchus (white-tufted-ear marmoset), 698 nucleotides. The record is from RefSeq and is a predicted model, not a curated record. NCBI's taxonomy places the organism in Eukaryota, Metazoa, Chordata, Mammalia, Primates, Cebidae.
UUUUCCCAUAGCACUUACCACCUUCAAACACACACUUUAUAUCUUUACUAUCUGCUGUGUUUAUUGUCUAUUUCUACCUUUGUCCCCAUUCCAGAUCAAACGUAAGUGCCAUCAGAACACAGAUCUUUGUUUCUUUCCAUGGACGUACCCCAGACACCCAGAACAGCGCCUGACAUAGUAGCUUUCAGACCAGGCCAUCUAGGUGAUGGCCUAUGCAAAACUCUCCAAGGACAUCGCUUGUUUGGAUAUGGUGGCUGCCUGCUGGAGAACCUGGAGGACAGAAUUCUAGCCUGGACAACCAGCUCAACAGACAGGGCUUCUGUAACUGGGACUGCGCCCAGCUGUGGACCAGCGUACACUUGUAUGAGAUCACAAGCUCUGACUGUGCUCACCUCUUCCCAGCUCAAUGCUCAGUGCCACUGAUAACUUGAGACUGAUUGUGAUGGGAGUAUUUACACCAUGGAAUUCAUCAAACACUACAGAUCGGGGCUUCCCUUUGCCUCCCUAGAGAGCCAGUUGUUAAACAUUUACCAGCACACCACUGACGGUAUCCAUUUACUCCUAACGUCAUAGCUUUCUUUGACUUGCUCUAUUCCUCAGUCUCUACAUAUAUGUCUUCUAGUUCAAUUAAAGUCCUAGGCUUUUCUAAAUCUCAGCUCGACUCUCUUUUUUGUUUUUUGCUUUUUUAAAAAAUUUUU